CAGAAUGAAGCUUUAUAGUAAAGUAUUUCACUUACAUUGAAAAGAUUUUCGUGCAAUUCGAAUUAUUCUGA
This 71-nucleotide transfer RNA is filed under the name Xizicus howardi. Its description in RNAcentral is "tRNA-Val". It matches the Rfam family "tRNA". Rfam says of the family: Transfer RNA (tRNA) molecules are approximately 80 nucleotides in length. Their secondary structure includes four short double-helical elements and three loops (D, anti-codon, and T loops). The record is from RNAcentral. Lineage: Eukaryota; Metazoa; Arthropoda; Insecta; Orthoptera; Tettigoniidae.